ACGAGAACGGGUUAAAGUUUACUUUAACUGUCAGCUAAGUGGCGCACGGGUGAGUAAUGUAUAGUUAACCUGCCCUCGAGAAAGGAAUAACAGUUGGAAACGACUGCUAAUGCCCUAUAUGCCUUUAAGACAUAAGUCUACAAGGGAAAUGCUUUUGUGCUCGAGGAUGGGACUGUAUGGUAUCAGAUAGUUGGUGAGGUAAUGGCUCACCAAGUCAAUGACGCCUAACUGGUUUGAGAGGAUGAUCAGUCACACUGGAACUGAGACACGGUCCAGACUCCUACGGGAGGCAGCAGUGGGGAAUAUUGCACAAUGGAGGAAACUCUGAUGCAGCAACGCCGCGUGGAGGAUGACACUUUUCGGAGCGUAAACUCCUUUUAUAUAGGAAGAUAAUGACGGUACUAUAUGAAUAAGCGCCGGCUAACUCCGUGCCAGCAGCCGCGGUAAUACGGAGGGCGCAAGCGUUACUCGGAAUCACUGGGCGUAAAGAGCGUGUAGGCGGAUAGAUAAGUCAGAAGUGAAAUCCUAUAGCUCAACUAUAGAACUGCUUUUGAAACUGUCUAUCUAGAAUAUGGGAGAGGUAGAUGGAAUUUCUGGUGUAGGGGUAAAAUCCGUAGAGAUCAGAAGGAAUACCGAUUGCGAA
RNAcentral lists this ribosomal RNA (643 nucleotides) under Halarcobacter ebronensis. RNAcentral describes it as "bacterial SSU rRNA". It matches the Rfam family "Bacterial small subunit ribosomal RNA", at positions 66 to 719 of the family's 1533-position model. The record is from RNAcentral. Lineage: Bacteria; Pseudomonadati; Campylobacterota; Epsilonproteobacteria; Campylobacterales; Arcobacteraceae.